RNAcentral lists this transfer RNA (67 nucleotides) under Stenurella nigra. Its description in RNAcentral is "tRNA-Ser". The record is from RNAcentral. Lineage: Eukaryota; Metazoa; Arthropoda; Insecta; Coleoptera; Cerambycidae.
AGUUAAUGAACUUGUAUAAGUAUAUAUUUUGAAAAUAUAAAAAAGAAGCCUUAUCUUCUAUUAACUU